RNAcentral lists this ribosomal RNA (272 nucleotides) under uncultured prokaryote. Its description in RNAcentral is "partial 16S ribosomal RNA". It matches the Rfam family "Bacterial small subunit ribosomal RNA", at positions 524 to 796 of the family's 1533-position model. The record is from RNAcentral.
UACAGAGGGUGCGAGCGUUAAUCGGAAUUACUGGGCGUAAAGCGCGCGUAGGCGGCUUUGCAAGUCGGGUGUGAAAUCCCCAGGCUUAACCUGGGAACUGCAUUCGAGACUGCAUUGCUAGAGUAUGGGAGAGGGAAGUGGAAUUUCCGGUGUAGCGGUGAAAUGCGUAGAUAUCGGAAGGAACAUCAGUGGCGAAAGCGACUUCCUGGACCAAUACUGACGCUCAUGUGCGAAAGCGUGGGGAGCAAACAGGAUUAGAUACCCGGUAGUCC